Small nucleolar RNA from Suncus etruscus (white-toothed pygmy shrew), 132 nucleotides. RefSeq annotates it as small nucleolar RNA SNORA51. NCBI's taxonomy places the organism in Eukaryota, Metazoa, Chordata, Mammalia, Eulipotyphla, Soricidae. The record is from RefSeq and is a predicted model, not a curated record. The transcript has a single exon.
GGCCUAUCAAUUCUUAUCACAGGUGUAUUCUUUACAACUGACUGUAGAGAAAGAGGAGGUGCAGUAAAUGCUCCCCAUAUACACCUCAACCCAGGCCUUUUCCUGGUCUGUAUUGUAAAUUGGGGGACAAAA